RNAcentral lists this ribosomal RNA (544 nucleotides) under uncultured bacterium. RNAcentral describes it as "bacterial SSU rRNA". It matches the Rfam family "Bacterial small subunit ribosomal RNA", at positions 777 to 1319 of the family's 1533-position model. The record is from RNAcentral.
AAUAGAUACCCAGGUAGUCCACGCCGUAAACGACUGAGUGCUAAGUGUUGGGGGGUUUCCGCCCCUCAGUGCUGCAGCUAACGCAUUAAGCACUCCGCCUGGGGAGUACGGUCGCAAGACUGAAACUCAAAGGAAUUGACGGGGGCCCGCACAAGCGGUGGAGCAUGUGGUUUAAUUCGAAGCAACGCGAAGAACCUUACCAGGUCUUGACAUCCCGGUGACCACUAUGGAGACAUAGUUUCCCCUUCGGGGGCAACGGUGACAGGUGGUGCAUGGUUGUCGUCAGCUCGUGUCGUGAGAUGUUGGGUUAAGUCCCGCAACGAGCGCAACCCUUAUUCUUAGUUGCCAUCAUUCAGUUGGGCACUCUAAGGAGACUGCCGGUGAUAAACCGGAGGAAGGUGGGGAUGACGUCAAAUCAUCAUGCCCCUUAUGACCUGGGCUACACACGUGCUACAAUGGACGGUACAAACGGUUGCCAACCCGCGAGGGGAGCUAAUCCGAUAAAACCGUUCUCAGUUCGGAUUGUAGGCUGCAACUCGCCUAC